This 253-nucleotide ribosomal RNA is filed under the name uncultured bacterium. Its description in RNAcentral is "partial 16S ribosomal RNA". It matches the Rfam family "Bacterial small subunit ribosomal RNA", at positions 524 to 776 of the family's 1533-position model. The record is from RNAcentral.
UACGAAGGGGGCUAGCGUUGCUCGGAAUCACUGGGCGUAAAGCGUGCGCAGGCGGCGCGUUAAGACAGGUGUGAAAGCCCCGAGCUUAACUUGGGAAUUGCGCUUGUGACUGGCGUGCUGGAGUGUGGCAGAGGGAGGUGGAAUUCCACGUGUAGCAGUGAAAUGCGUAGAGAUGUGGAGGAACACCGAUGGCGAAGGCAGCCUCCUGGGCCAGCACUGACGCUCAGGCACGAAAGCGUGGGGAGCAAACAGG